RNAcentral lists this long non-coding RNA (2928 nucleotides) under Homo sapiens (human). RNAcentral's name for it is "HSALNT0265809". Lineage: Eukaryota; Metazoa; Chordata; Mammalia; Primates; Hominidae. The record is from RNAcentral.
CCCCUCCCAAAUUUCUGUUUUCCUGCCUAUAGCUAUGUUCCUUCCCCAUGAUAUAAACCUCCAAUUUUAGCCAGAUGGGGAGAUGGAUUUGAGACUGGUCUCCCGUCUCCUCAGCUACAGCACUCAGUUAAAGCCUUCUUCCCUGGCAGUACUCGUCUCAGUGACUGGCUUCCUGUGCGGUGAGCAAUACGACCGAGACAAACCCCUGGCAUUUUGGCAGCAGAUUUUUGUUCCCUGACAGGUUGGUCUGAGCAGAGUUCUGGUCUGAUGGAGCAAGGGAAGGUCUGCAGCCACACCACCCUGAACGUGCCAGCUCUCUUCUGAUUUCGAAAGGUCUGUGAGUUGUAGUGCUAUCUCACAGUUGGAUUCAUUUUGCUAGUGAAUGGGAAAGCAGGAUGGAGUUCCUUGCAUCCAGGUUUUAUGCCGCUGUUCUAAGCAGGGUUGGGCCUGGUUACUACAUGAUGUCCUCCUGGGGUGCAGUUUGGCCGCAGUGUUCUUUAGAGUCUGGGAAGGUUUGGCCAUCAAAAAUCAAACUGUCACGGAAACUGCUUUAUCCAAAAUUUUGUUUCACAGUCUUCACUGGAUUACCUACUGGAGCAAGCAAAGUUUACCCAUGUGAACAUGUAGGUAAACCACUGAGUUUGUACUGCUAUCUUGUGGCUAGUGUUCUGUGGUAAAACUAUUAGGUCUUUGUUUGUCUGUGUGUAUAUAUAUCCUGAUGUUAUGUGUUGUUUUCACAGGACACCAAACUGGCUUAUAAAUGAAACAGUGCUCAUAGAUUAAGUAAACAAAUACAAACAUUAUUGAAGUUCACAUAACUUAAGUAAAUCUUUAAUAAACAAGUGGGCUUUAAAAUUAUUGGUAAAAUAAAAAUAGAAAUGUCUUCAGAAUUGUCAAUAUACAUUUGUGUGUGUGUGUGUUUUAUAUUUGUCUCUGCUACAUAUUUUGAGGUGUCAAGGUUUGGCACACAAGGUUAUGAAACUACAAACCCAUUCACAGCAAAAUGAUCUUUGUUUGUAUGACUUUUUUUUGAUAAAUAAGACUAAUUUAAUGUUGUUGGUUUAAUGAAAACAGCUGAAUAUCCUGAGUUCUUGGUGAAAAUGCCCAUAUAUUUAACUUUAAGGUCAUUACUUAGGUGAAUGCCAGAUAUUCACAUGCUAUUAAGAUAGUUAACAAGGAGAUUACUUGAAAUGAUGGCUAGCUUUAUCUAACAUCUCAGUUUUCAGAGGUAAUCUAGAUAAACUGUUAAAAUUGAAAGAAUUGAGUACAUGCAAAUAGGAUAAAUGCUUGUAGGUAAACUUUUUGUAUAAUUUUAAAUCUUAAAAUUAUUUUUGAUACUCAUUAGAUACCUUGGUAAUUUCCAAUUAAGAAAGGGUUAUGAUAUGGGGAAACACUAUUUUUAAAAAUGUGGAAUGUUUUCAUCUAUAAAAUGCUAAUAUCUGAUAGAUAGUUCAGAUUUCUUGCUUCCAAUGUUUUCGCCAAAAUUCAAGGUUACUAAGAAUAGAUAUUAUGGUUAAUACAUAAUUCUGUACAUAAAAUAUGCCAAAGAAGAUGUAUUCUUAUUGAAGAAAAUAAUACUUUUGUCUAAUUCAACAGUUAUCUAAAGGUUAAUUGAAAUUAAAGACUUAGAAAGAUUAUUUACAAACCAGGUAGAAAGAAAAGAGUAAGUAGAGGAGAGAGAUGUAAGGAAAGUUAUGGAUAUAAAGAUGCAUUUCUUUGGUAGGGAAGAGAAAAAAGAAAGAAUAAUUUCGUAUGAGGAAAGAUCUCAUAUGGGAAAUUUUUGUUUUGAACUAAAAUGACUGGUUAUUUUAAAAAGAAAAUUUAGGACAAAACAGAAAGCCCAAGCAUGUCAUACAUUGUCUGUGUAAGUCAUGUGUAGUUAUUUUCUAUUUCUCUGUAUGUGUAUCUUGAUGUACACACAGAGAAAAUCAAGAUUUCAAAAACUUUAGAUAAAAUAUUCUUUAAAACCAGAUAGAAAAUUGGAUAAAUUUGGCCAAUUGACAUUGUCCAUAUGUGAAAUUGUCCCACAUGUGACAUUGUCCCACAUGUGCUCAUUUUAGGCUCUGAGUAACACUAGCCUCCAAUGUAAACUGAGUGGAAAAAAAUUGUGAGUCAUGUUCCUAUUUAUUUGUUUUUUUUCUUGCUGUUUGCUCUUCUUUGGGUUUUACUAAGUAAACUGAUUUUUCAAACUUUGUAAUGGAAGACUUUUAUUUGGUUCUAUGGAUAGUCAUUUUGUUUCUAUGCAUUUCCAACAAUUCAUCAUUUGCUCUACUUAUCUAAAAAUCCUAAACUACCUUCAUCAAGCCUCUAAAAGUUGAUAGAGCACACAAGACACUUAAAAUUUGAUUGGUAUGGUUACCUCUGAUGAUCUGGAGAGCUUUAAGAGCUUUAAUAUUUCUGGCCAAAAAUAAAAGACUUACUUUUAUAAGUUCUGAACAGAGAUAGUACCUACUUUAUCUUACUAUUUGUAAAAGUAGGUGAGAGUAGAAACCUUUAAAUGGUUUUUAUUUUCAAGAUAAUUCAAUUUGAUCAGUGUUUGAACUGGUUUCAGAUAUUGUAAUGAGGAAAAACUGUGAUAUGGUAUAAGUUUCAAAGUUCUGGAAAGUUUGGCCUUGUCCUUAAGGAAAUUAUAUUGACUGGGAUUUCUCUCAAGCUACUUUAGUUGUUUUAAUUGUUAUUAAAAUUAAGUGGCAUUCACCUGGAUUAGGUAGCAGUUUAAAAAUGUGAGACGUUCUAAUGAUUUUUGAUCCCAAGCCUUUUAUCACUGUUGGGGAUUCAUGUCUGUGCUUAAAAACAAAAUAUGUAUAAGUGUUGCACUGAUUUGAAGAUUUCUAGUGGUAAAAGUUACCUAAUUGGCUGUCAGUACUGUAUCUAGAAACCAAUUUUGUAAUUGUGUGAUGAUGCUCUUUUAAAAUAGCUGAAAAUAAA